GUAUUCCCUUCGGCAGCACAUAUACUAAAAUCGGAACAAUACAGAGAAGACGAGAAUGGCCCCUGUGCAAGGAUGACACAGAUUCGUGAAGCAUUCCCUAUUUUU
Molecule: small nuclear RNA, 105 nt
Organism: Equus asinus (donkey)
Lineage: Eukaryota; Metazoa; Chordata; Mammalia; Perissodactyla; Equidae
Source: Ensembl